Molecule: long non-coding RNA, 222 nt
Filed under: Ananas comosus (pineapple)
Lineage: Eukaryota; Viridiplantae; Streptophyta; Magnoliopsida; Poales; Bromeliaceae
Description: long non-coding RNA (ACOM_LNC036573)
Source: RNAcentral
UUGCGAAGAUUGGAAAUGCAUUUUCGUCGCGUUUUCGGCGAAAUCCGCCGACGGAACGCGGGUUCGGUUCGGAAUUAUUCCGACGGUGCUUCGUGAGCUUUUGUGUAGUCGUUGAGCCUUGUUGGCUGGUCACUCGCGUCAUUUCGAGAGUUCAGAAAUGAUGAGUGAGCGACGGUGGGUUCCGGUGUCGAAAUUGACACUUCCAGGAACCCUGAUCCCAAC